RNAcentral lists this long non-coding RNA (217 nucleotides) under Gallus gallus (chicken). Its description in RNAcentral is "long non-coding RNA NONGGAT007828". The record is from RNAcentral. Lineage: Eukaryota; Metazoa; Chordata; Aves; Galliformes; Phasianidae.
CGGGUCCCUUCCCGGCAUCCCCCGCGGCGGUAGCGGAGGCAGUCCCUGUUCCGUGACCUUCGGUGGCAACCGCGCUCUCCCGGCCUAACGAUGGUGCAAAAUAUGAUUCCAAAGUCAUGGAGAGCCAUGAAAUUCUACUUCACUACUGUUUACCAAGAAAUAUGGGUUGGUCUAGCAUUAACAGCGUAUGCCUAUUACAAAAUUUCGUACGGUGGUA